UUCUGUUGCUUUACAAUUUGCUCCAGACUAAACCAGUAAAGCAUUAGCCUACACACUUGAUAGUAUGUUUCAGUAAAUAUCUAAUCGUAUAUCUGUUAUGCUGUGCAUAUGCUCCUUUCUACCACCAUUGUUUCAAACCCACUGGAUACUUAGACUCACAGCAGCAUCACGGGACGGAGAGCCGGAGAGCCCAUAAUAGAGGAAGCUAUCGUAGCUUAUUAGCCGUGUGUCACCAUUCACUUUAAUGUAACCUCCUUGGUCAGAGUAUUAACUUCCCCACGACAGAGAUAUGCAGACAAUUAUGAGACAGGAGUCGAUGGUACAAAUACGUCUUUUCAGUUUAUUCAAACUGUGUGAACUUGUUAUCUCGUUAGCAACCAGAGCCUGAGCUGCAGUGUGUGCUGGAACAGAAGCAGAGGGAGCUGGCCCUCCGUCCUCCCUCUGACCUGGAGGUGAAACGCCGCACGAGGCAGCAGAGAACACAAGUUUACAAGCUGGAGGACAAGAGGAGUGAGAGCCUGCAGAAUGUACCAGAGUUUGUUCGCGUACCAAACAUUUUUUUCUAGUGACGACCAGAGAAAAUGGACAAAUUAACAGCGUUAACGUCCAGAGAAGUUCCUACUGUAUGUUACUGUCAGUUAAAAGGAUCAUCCUUGAUUGACAACUGCAUAUAUUUCAGAUUGGAAUAAUCAAAAUUCAUCAGUCUUAAUUUGAGGAUAAUGUUUAAGCAUAAUGGAUCAU
This is a long non-coding RNA of Siniperca chuatsi (mandarin fish), 741 nucleotides long. RefSeq lists it as uncharacterized. NCBI's taxonomy places the organism in Eukaryota, Metazoa, Chordata, Actinopteri, Centrarchiformes, Sinipercidae. The record is from RefSeq and is a predicted model, not a curated record. The transcript has 3 exons.